UACAGAGGGUGCAAGCGUUAAUCGGAAUUACUGGGCGUAAAGCGCACGUAGGCGGAUUUGUAAGUCAGGGGUGAAAUCCCGAGGCUCAACCUCGGAACUGCCUUUGAUACUGCAAAUCUCGAGUCCGGAAGAGGUGAGUGGAAUUCCUAGUGUAGCGGUGAAAUGCGUAGAUAUCGGAAGGAACACCAGUGGCGAAAGCGGCUUCCUGGUCCAGCACCGACGUUCAGGCACGAAAGCGUGGGGAGCAAACAGG
Molecule: ribosomal RNA, 253 nt
Filed under: uncultured bacterium
Lineage: Bacteria
Description: partial 16S ribosomal RNA
Rfam family: Bacterial small subunit ribosomal RNA
Source: RNAcentral